AGUUUGAUCCUGGCUCAGGAUGAACGCUAGCUACAGGCUGAACACAUGCAAGUCGAGGGGCAGCAUUGGAGUAGCAAUACUUCAGAUGGCGACCGGCGCACGGGUGAGUAACACGUAUCCAACCUGCCGCUUACUCGGGGAUAGCCUUUCGAAAGAAAGAUUAAUACCCGAUGGUAUAAAGAGUUCGCAUGUUCUCUUUAUUAAAGAAUUUCGGUAAGCGAUGGGGAUGCGUUCCAUUAGAUUGUUGGCGGGGUAACGGCCCACCAAGUCUACGAUGGAUAGGGGUUCUGAGAGGAAGGUCCCCCACAUUGGAACUGAGACACGGUCCAAAUCCUACGGGAGGCAGCAGUGAGGAAUAUUGGUCAAUGGGCGAGAGCCUGAACCAGCCAAGUAGCGUGAAGGAUGACUGCCCUAUGGGUUGUAAACUUCUUUUAUAAGGGAAUAAAGUGAGGGACGUGUCCCUUUUUGUAUGUACCUUAUGAAUAAGGAUCGGCUAACUCCGUGCCAGCAGCCGCGGUAAUACGGAGGAUCCAAGCGUUAUCCGGAUUUAUUGGGUUUAAAGGGAGCGUAGGUUGACAUAUAAGUCAGCUGUGAAAGUUUACGGCUCAACCGUGAAAUUGCAGUUGAUACUGUAUGUCUUGAGUGUACAAGAGGUGGGCGGAAUUCGUGGUGUAGCGGUGAAAUGCUUAGAUAUCACGAAGAACUCCAAUUGCGAAGGCAGCUCACUAGGGUACAACUGACACUGAGGCUCGAAAGUGUGGGUAUCAAACAGGAUUAGAUACCCUGGUAGUCCACACAGUAAACGAUGAAUACUCGCUGUUUGCGAUAUACAGUAAGCGGCCAAGCGAAAGCAUUAAGUAUUCCACCUGGGGAGUACGCCGGCAACGGUGAAACUCAAAGGAAUUGACGGGGGCCCGCACAAGCGGAGGAACAUGUGGUUUAAUUCGAUGAUACGCGAGGAACCUUACCCGGGCUUGAAUUGCAGAGGAACAUAGUUGAAAGAUUAUGGCCGCAAGGUCUCUGUGAAGGUGCUGCAUGGUUGUCGUCAGCUCGUGCCGCGAGGUGUCGGCUUAAGUGCCAUAACGAGCGCAACCCUUAUCAUUAGUUACUAACAGGUGAUGCUGAGGACUCUAGUGAGACUGCCGUCGUAAGAUGUGANGAA
Molecule: ribosomal RNA, 1162 nt
Filed under: uncultured Bacteroides sp.
Lineage: Bacteria; Pseudomonadati; Bacteroidota; Bacteroidia; Bacteroidales; Bacteroidaceae
Description: bacterial SSU rRNA
Rfam family: Bacterial small subunit ribosomal RNA
Source: RNAcentral